This is a small nucleolar RNA of Lathyrus oleraceus (garden pea), 123 nucleotides long. RefSeq annotates it as small nucleolar RNA snoR111. The transcript has a single exon. The record is from RefSeq and is a predicted model, not a curated record. NCBI's taxonomy places the organism in Eukaryota, Viridiplantae, Streptophyta, Magnoliopsida, Fabales, Fabaceae.
ACAAAUGAUGAAGAGAUUGAUAAGGUUUCUCUGGUAUCGUUUUAACAUUGAGGUAUAACAAUCGCCGAGUCAUCGUUUCGUCCGUCAUUUUUCAUUGGCGAGUCGAUUGUUUCUCGUCUACAC